UGAAUACGAGAUGCUACGGCGUCGAAGCAGUCUAUGUCAUACUUCCAAGAAAAGCUUGCACUGUCAUAAACAAAUAAUGCCUGUACCAUAACCGACACAGGUGGGUAGGUAGAGUAUACUAAGGGGCGCGAGAUAACUCUCUCUAAGGAACUCGGCAAAAUGACUCCGUAACUUCGGGAGAAGGAGUGCCUUAUUUAUAAGGUUGCGAUAACAAGAUCCAAGCAACUGUUUACCAAAAACACAGGUCUCCGCUAAGUCGUAAGACGAUGUAUGGGGGCUGACGCCUGCCCAGUGCCAGAAGGUUAAAGAAGUUGGUUAGCAUCCGCGAAGCUGAUAACUGAAGCCCUGGUGAACGGCGGCCGUAACGAUAACGGUCCUAAGGUAGCGAAAUUCCUUGUCGGGUAAGUUCCGACCCGCACGAAAGGCGUAAUGAUUUGGAUACUGUCUCGGAGAGGGGCUCGGUGAAAUAGACUUGUCUGUGAAGAUGCGGACUACCUGCACCAGGACAGAAAGACCCUAUGAAGCUUUACUGUAACCUGAAAUUGAAAUUGGACUUUACUUGCGCAGUAUAGGUGGGAGGCGUUGAGAAUAUUCUUGCGGGAUUAUUGGAGCCAUCAGUGAGAUACCACUCUUGUAAUGUUAGAUUUCUAACUUUGUAUCAUUAUCUGGUCAAAGAACAGUUUCAGGCGGGCAGUUUGACUGGGGCGGUCGCCUCCUAAACGGUAACGGAGGCGCACAAAGGUUUCCUCUGAACGGGUAGAAAUCGUAUCUAGAGUGUAAAGGCAUAAGGAAGCUUGACUGUGAGACCUACAAGUCGAGCAGGGACGAAAGUCGGUCUUAGUGAUCUGACGGUGCUGAGUGGAAAGGCCGUCACUCAACGGAUAAAAGUUACUCUAGGAUAACAGGCUGAUCUCCCCCAAGAGUUCACAUCGACGGGGAGGUUUGGCACCUCGAUGUCGGCUCAUCGCAUCCUGGGGCGGUAGUACGUCCCAAGGGUUGGGCUGUUCGCCCAUGAAAGCGGUACGCGAGCUGGGUUCAGAACGUCGUGAGACAGUUCGGUCCAUAUCCGGUGUAGGCGUUAGAAUAUUGAGAGGAGCCUUCUUUAGUACGAGAGGACCGAGAAGGACAUACCUCUGGUGUACCAGUUAUCGUGCCAACGGUAAACGCUGGGUAGCUAUGUGUGGAGUGGAUAACCGCUGAAAGCAUCUAAGUGGGAAGCCCACCUCAAGAUAAGUAUUCUCA
This 1242-nucleotide ribosomal RNA is filed under the name metagenome. RNAcentral describes it as "bacterial LSU rRNA". It matches the Rfam family "Bacterial large subunit ribosomal RNA", at positions 1564 to 2816 of the family's 2925-position model. The record is from RNAcentral.